This is a small nuclear RNA of Manacus vitellinus (golden-collared manakin), 118 nucleotides long. Its record names the gene U5. It matches the Rfam family "U5 spliceosomal RNA". Rfam says of the family: U5 RNA is a component of both types of known spliceosome. NCBI's taxonomy places the organism in Eukaryota, Metazoa, Chordata, Aves, Passeriformes, Pipridae. The record is from Ensembl.
AUGCUCAGGUUUCUCUUCAUAUCGUACAAAUCUUUCGCCUUUUACUAAAGAUUUCCGUGAAGAAGAGAAACAAGUACGAGUGUGAAAUAAUUUUUUGAGGCUUCACUAAGGUGGAGCU